This 497-nucleotide ribosomal RNA is filed under the name uncultured bacterium. RNAcentral's name for it is "partial 16S ribosomal RNA". It matches the Rfam family "Bacterial small subunit ribosomal RNA", at positions 28 to 507 of the family's 1533-position model. The record is from RNAcentral.
GAUGAACGCUGGCGGCGUGCCUAAUACAUGCAAGUCGAGCGAACAGACGAGGAGCUUGUUCCUCUGACGUUAGCGGCGGACGGGUGAGUAACACGUGGAUAACCUACCUAUAAGACCGGGAUAACUUCGGGAAACCGGAGUUACUACCGGAUAAUAUAUUGAACCGCAUGGUUCAAUAGUGAAAGACGGUUUUGCUGUCACUUAUAGAUGGAUCCGCGCCGCAUUAGCUAGUUGGUAAGGUAACGGCUUACCAAGGCGACGAUGCGUAGCCGACCUGAGAGGGUGGUCGGCCACACUGGAGCUGCGACACGGUCCAGACUCCUACGGGAGGCAGCAGUAGGGAAUCUUCCGCAAUGGGCGAAAGCCUGACGGAGCAACGCCGCGUGAGUGAUGAUGGUCUUCGGAUCGUAAAACUCUGUUAUUAGGGAAGAACAAGUGUGUAAGUAACUGUGCACGUCUUGACGGUAGCUAAUCAGAAAGCCACGGCUAACUACGUG